RNAcentral lists this ribosomal RNA (440 nucleotides) under uncultured bacterium. RNAcentral's name for it is "partial 16S ribosomal RNA". It matches the Rfam family "Bacterial small subunit ribosomal RNA", at positions 338 to 795 of the family's 1533-position model. The record is from RNAcentral.
CCUACGGGUGGCAGCAGUAGGGAAUAUUGCUCAAUGGGGGAAACUCUGAAGCAGCAACGCCGCGUGGAGGAUGAAGGUUUUAGGAUUGUAAACUUCUUUUGGGAGGGAAGUUAAUGACGGUAUCUGACGAAUAAGCACCGGCUAACUCCGUGCCAGCAGCCGCGGUAAUACGGAGGGUGCAAGCGUUACUCGGAAUCACUGGGCUUAAAGAGUGCGCAGGCGGGCUUGUAAGUCAGAUGUGAAAUCCUGUAGCUUAACUACAGAACUGCAUUUGAAACUAUGAGGCUAGAGUGUAGUAGCGGUAGGUGGAAUUCUUGGUGUAGCGGUAAAAGCCGUAGAUAUCAAGAGGAAUACUCAUUGCGAAGGCGACCUACUGGAACAUUACUGACGCUCAUGCACGAAAGCGUGGGGAGCAAACAGGAUUAGAUACCCUUGUAGUC